RNAcentral lists this ribosomal RNA (253 nucleotides) under uncultured bacterium. Its description in RNAcentral is "partial 16S ribosomal RNA". It matches the Rfam family "Bacterial small subunit ribosomal RNA", at positions 524 to 776 of the family's 1533-position model. The record is from RNAcentral.
UACGAAGGGUGCAAGCGUUACUCGGAAUUACUGGGCGUAAAGCGUGCGUAGGCGGUUUGUUAAGUCUGUCGUGAAAGCCCCGGGCUCAACCUGGGAAUGGCGAUGGAAACUGGCGAGCUAGAGUACGGUAGAGGAGAGUGGAAUUCCCGGUGUAGCAGUGAAAUGCGUAGAGAUCGGGAGGAACACCAGAGGCGAAGGCGGCGACCUGGACAGGUACUGACACUCAACUACGAAAGCGUGGGGAGCAAACAGG